AGGUACAAUCAUACCAGCACUAAUGCACUGGAUCCCAUCAGAACUCCGUAGUUGCGCGUGCUUGGGCGAGAGUAGUACUAUGAUGGGUGCCCUCCUAAGAAGUCCUCAUGUUGCACCCC
RNAcentral lists this ribosomal RNA (119 nucleotides) under Macleaya cordata. The record is from RNAcentral. Lineage: Eukaryota; Viridiplantae; Streptophyta; Magnoliopsida; Ranunculales; Papaveraceae.